CCUACGGGGGGCAGCAGUCGAGAAUCAUUCACAAUGGGGGAAACCCUGAUGGUGCGACGCCGCGUGGGGGAAUGAAGGUCUUCGGAUUGUAAACCCCUGUCAUGUGGGAGCAAAUUAAAAAGAUAGUACCACAAGAGGAAGAGACGGCUAACUCUGUGCCAGCAGCCGCGGUAAUACAGAGGUCUCAAGCGUUGUUCGGAAUCACUGGGCGUAAAGCGUGCGUAGGCUGUUUCGUAAGUCGUGUGUGAAAGGCGCGGGCUCAACCCGCGGACGGCACAUGAUACUGGGAGACUAGAGUAAGGGAGGGGGAACCGGAAUUCUCGGUGUAGCAGUGAAAUGCGUAGAUAUCGAGAGGAACACUCGUGGCGAAGGCGGGUUCCUGGACAUUAACUGACGCUGAGGCACGAAGGCCAGGGGAGCGAAAGGGAUUAGAUACCCGAGUAGUC
RNAcentral lists this ribosomal RNA (446 nucleotides) under uncultured bacterium. Its description in RNAcentral is "partial 16S ribosomal RNA". It matches the Rfam family "Bacterial small subunit ribosomal RNA", at positions 338 to 795 of the family's 1533-position model. The record is from RNAcentral.